CCUACGGGAGGCAGCAGUGGGGAAUAUUGGACAAUGGGCGAAAGCCUGAUCCAGCAAUGCCGCGUGAGUGAUGAAGGCCUUAGGGUUGUAAAGCUCUUUUACCAGGGAUGAUAAUGACAGUACCUGGAGAAUAAGCUCCGGCUAACUCCGUGCCAGCAGCCGCGGUAAUACGGAGGGAGCUAGCGUUGUUCGGAAUUACUGGGCGUAAAGCGUACGUAGGCGGUUAUUCAAGUCAGAGGUGAAAGCCUGGAGCUCAACUCCAGAACUGCCUUUGAAACUAGAUAGCUAGAAUCUUGGAGAGGUGAGUGGAAUUCCGAGUGUAGAGGUGAAAUUCGUAGAUAUUCGGAAGAACACCAGUGGCGAAGGCGACUCACUGGACAAGUAUUGACGCUGAGGUACGAAAGCGUGGGGAGCAAACAGGAUUAGAUACCCUGGUAGUCCACGCCGUAAACGAUGAUAACUAGCUGUUCGGGCUCUACGAGCUUGAGUGGCGCNGACUACGACAUAAGUUAGUCCGUCCGUCGGGAGGUACGGUCGGCGAAGAAGUUAAAACUUAACGUAAAGUUAAAGUUAGUACGGCGUUGAGACGUUGCCGAACGGACGACGACGAGGGGAGGUUAGGAG
Molecule: ribosomal RNA, 624 nt
Filed under: uncultured bacterium
Lineage: Bacteria
Description: bacterial SSU rRNA
Rfam family: Bacterial small subunit ribosomal RNA (bases 1-519)
Source: RNAcentral